UACAGGGGGUGCAAACGUUGCUCGGAAUUAUUGGGCGUAAAGCGCGCGUAGGCGGCUACCUAAGUCGGAUGUGAAAGCCCCUGGCUUAACUGGGGAAGUGCACCCGAAACUGGGUAGCUAGAGUGCAAAAGAGGGUCGCGGAAUUCCCAGUGUAGAGGUGAAAUUCGUAGAUAUUGGGAGGAACAUCCGGUGGCGAAGGCGGCGACCUGGGUUGACACUGACGCUGAGGCGCGAAAGCGUGGGGAGCAAACAGG
Molecule: ribosomal RNA, 254 nt
Filed under: uncultured bacterium
Lineage: Bacteria
Description: partial 16S ribosomal RNA
Rfam family: Bacterial small subunit ribosomal RNA
Source: RNAcentral